UGUGGCUCAGUCGAAGGGCACUUGCCUAGCAUGCAUGAGGCCCUGGGUUCAAGUUCCAGCA
RNAcentral lists this transfer RNA (61 nucleotides) under Ictidomys tridecemlineatus (thirteen-lined ground squirrel). RNAcentral's name for it is "Spermophilus tridecemlineatus (thirteen-lined ground squirrel) tRNA". It matches the Rfam family "tRNA", at positions 6 to 65 of the family's 71-position model. Rfam says of the family: Transfer RNA (tRNA) molecules are approximately 80 nucleotides in length. Their secondary structure includes four short double-helical elements and three loops (D, anti-codon, and T loops). The record is from Rfam by way of RNAcentral. Lineage: Eukaryota; Metazoa; Chordata; Mammalia; Rodentia; Sciuridae.